Molecule: ribosomal RNA, 566 nt
Filed under: uncultured bacterium
Lineage: Bacteria
Description: partial 16S ribosomal RNA
Rfam family: Bacterial small subunit ribosomal RNA
Source: RNAcentral
UGGGGGAAUUUUGGACAAUGGGCGAAAGCCUGAUCCAGCAAUGCCGCGUGUGUGAAGAAGGCCUUCGGGUUGUAAAGCACUUUUGUCCGGAAAGAAAUCCUUGGCUCUAAUACAGUCGGGGGAUGACGGUACCGGAAGAAUAAGCACCGGCUAACUACGUGCCAGCAGCCGCGGUAAUACGUAGGGUGCAAGCGUUAAUCGGAAUUACUGGGCGUAAAGCGUGCGCAGGCGGUUUGCUAAGACCGAUGUGAAAUCCCCGGGCUCAACCUGGGAACUGCAUUGGUGACUGGCAGGCUAGAGUAUGGCAGAGGGGGGUAGAAAUUCCACGUGUAGCAGUGAAAUGCGUAGAGAUGUGGAGGAAUACCGAUGGCGAAGGCAGCCCCCCUGGGCCAAUACUGACGCUCAUGCACGAAAGCGUGGGGAGCAAACAGGAUUAGAUACCCUGGUAGUCCACGCCCUAAACGAUGUCAACUGUUGUUGGGGAUUCAUUUCCUAGUAACGUAGCUAACGCGUGAAGUUGACCGCCUGGGGAGUACGGUCGCAAGAUUAAAACUCAAAUGAAUUGA